CCUACGGGUGGCUGCAGUCGAGAAUAUUCCCCAAUGGACGAAAGUCUGAGGGAGCGACGCCGCGUGCAGGAAGAAGCCCUUCGGGGUGUAAACUGCUUUUCUUUGGGAACAACUCUGAGUGUACCGAAGGAAUAAGGGGCUGCUAACUUCGUGCCAGCAGCAGCGGUAAUACGAAGGCCCCGAGCGUUAUCCGGAUUUAUUGGGCGUAAAGCGUUAAAAGGCGGUUUGGAAAGUCACUGGUUAAAUCCCACAGCUCAACUGUGGGGCCGCUGGUGAAACUCCCAAGCUUGAGGCUGGAAGAGGCGAGCGGAACUACCGGUGUAGUGGUAAAAUGCGUUAAUAUCGGUAGGAACACCAAAGGCGAAAGCAGCUCGCUGGUACAGUCCUGACGCUGAAUAACGAAAGCGUGGGGAGCGAAUGGGAUUAGAUACCCCUGUAGUC
This 441-nucleotide ribosomal RNA is filed under the name uncultured bacterium. Its description in RNAcentral is "bacterial SSU rRNA". It matches the Rfam family "Bacterial small subunit ribosomal RNA", at positions 338 to 795 of the family's 1533-position model. The record is from RNAcentral.